UAGGGAAUCUUCCGCAAUGGACGCAAGUCUGACGGAGCAACGCCGCGUGAGUGAAGAAGGAUUUCGGUUCGUAAAACUCUGUUGUUAGAGAAGAACAGCGCAUAGAGUAACUGUUAUGCGUGUGACGGUAUCUAACCAGAAAGCCACGGCUAACUACGUGCCAGCAGCCGCGGUAAUACGUAGGUGGCAAGCGUUGUCCGGAUUUAUUGGGCGUAAAGCGAGCGCAGGCGGUCAAUUAAGUCUGAUGUGAAAGCCCCCGGCUCAACCGGGGAGGGUCAGUGGAAACUGGUUGACUUGAGUGCAGAAGAGGAGAGUGGAAUUCCAUGUGUAGCGGUGAAAUGCGUAGAUAUAUGGAGGAACACCAGUGGCGAAGGCGACUCUCUGGUAUGUAACUGACGCUGAGGCUCGAAAGCGUGGGUAGCAAACAGG
RNAcentral lists this ribosomal RNA (429 nucleotides) under Bacteroidota bacterium. RNAcentral's name for it is "Bacteroidetes bacterium partial 16S ribosomal RNA". It matches the Rfam family "Bacterial small subunit ribosomal RNA", at positions 355 to 776 of the family's 1533-position model. Lineage: Bacteria; Pseudomonadati; Bacteroidota. The record is from RNAcentral.